CGGAGGACAAGAGACUUCUAAACGGUCUGGAGGGACGAUUUGGGUCACAUCCGAGACGCAGUUGCACAUCAACAAGCGUCCGGGCUCCAGGGACAUGGCGGCGGCCUCUGUGGUGUCGGUGCUGCUGAUGGCGACUGAGAGGAACUGUGGCAGCUAGUCCAGAGCCCGCUGCUGCUGCUGCUGCCGCCCAGGCAACGGUCCAAAAGAUACUUCUAGUGCUUGGAUACUACCUGGGAGCAGCUCGUCAUGCCUGCAUUGUAUGGAACAAGUGUUCAAAAUAAAAUGCAAAAACUGUUGUGUCCCUUUCUGCCUUAAUGCCAAUCAAUAUGCUAAAGUCCUCAAAAAGUUCCUGAGGGAUCCAUUUCCAAUUCUAGUGAAGAGCUGAUCUUUGAAAGGUGCUGACAGAAAGAAAGAGGCAUUACUAAGAGGGAACUCCUUGAUAAGAAGUGGAAGCAGGAGUCAGUUUGGGAGGAAAACUGGCCAUAAACAUUGAAGAAGACAAGAAGAUUCUUUGUGACACUGAGGCUUUCUACCACACCAUGGUGGAGGAAAUGCCAAAGACUGUGGCUGACCUAAUUUAAUUCCUGGAAUGAAAUGGUUAUGAAUGUAGUGCUUGCUCUUGCUGAAUAGGCAAUCACAUUGUGCACUGUGUUUCUUUUGGGGAUAUGUGGAGCUUGUCUGAGUGCUCACAACAGAUUAAAAAUACAGAUUUUGAUAGCAAAGCAACUUCAGACAUGAUUUCAUGUGAGGGUAGUCAUUGGUUUUAUCCUCUUGUUACCUAGUUCUCUACACAUGGUUGUAUUGAGUAUUUGCCAUCAUUUAAUAAUAUGGACCGAAAGAUAUAAAAGCAGCUAAUUAUAAAGUUUGUCUGCCUUUAUUGUAUUAGUCACUAACUGAACAGAGCUAACUUUAAAAUGAUUUUCUAAGAAAAUACUUAAAUUUAUUUUGUUUGGUAUCAUUUUUUUCAGUAAGGCAUUUUAUUAGCAGUUAGUUGAAUGUUUAUUGAAUGUUCAAUAAAUUACAGUGAAGUAUUUUUUUCUCUGAAGUAGUUUGGUCCUUAUUUUUUAAAGAUUUGUACCUCUAGCUAUAAUCCAUAUUUCCAAAGGAAAAAGAUAAAACAGCAGUCCAUAGUAAUAUUUUACUCCAGUUAUAAAAUUAUACACAAAAGAUACAAUGAACAUGGCUUUUCAUAAAAAGAUUUAAUAGUUCCAAGUUAGCUGCUGCUUGGCAGUAGCAUGAAGACUGAGCAAUUGCAGAUUUCACCAGUACCAUCUACUAAACAAUAUCUGCUUCUUCAAGAAGAAAGAAGCAAAAAUAUAAAAUUCCUCCCUCCUCUGGUAUGACAAACAUUUCCUGGUACACAUCAUGUAACUGCUCAACAACAAGGUUUUUGUUAAUAAACUAAUUAAUCAAUAGAUUUCUUUUUCCAUAACAAUAACAUGGAGUUGCUAUUUGUUGUUGUCAUUUAGUUACUAAAUUGUGUCCUACUCUUUUGUGACUCCAUAGACUGUAGCCUCCCGGGGCUCCUCUGUCCAAGGGAUUCUCCAGGCAAGAAUACUGAAGUGGGUUGCCGUUUCUUUUUCCAGGGGAUCUUCCUGACCCAGGGGCCAAACCCAAGGCUCCUGCAUUGGCAGGCAGAUUAUUUACCACUGAGCCACCUGGGAAGCCCUGCGUUGAUAUAAUUAUUGACUUUACCAAAAAACCUGCACAGCCCUAUUUAAUAAUGUGGAUUUUAUUCAGGAUCAAAGUCAACCAUUAUCUCCACCUAAAGGCACGUUUGAUUAGUUUCUUGAAUGCAAUAGCUUCCUCCUGGACACUUCUGCCUCCCGGGGCUACACUCUCACUUUUCUUCCUCCUACUUAUGUGGCCCUCUGCUAUCCUCUUGUCAUUCUUCCUGUGUGCUCUUCCAUGUACUAGACUGACCUCUCCCUGGCUAUCAGUCUGAGGACUCUGGCACUUCAAUAUGUUCAAAAGCAAACUUAACCAUCUUGUUCCAGUAAUGUUUAGCUCAUUACCUUGUACCUCCUUCUCUUAUCUGGGCUUCCCUGGUGGCUCAGACAGUGAAGAAUCUGCCUGCAAUGCGAGAGACCUGGGUUCAAUCCUUGGGUUGGGAAGAUCCCCUGGAGGUGGGCAUGGCAACCCACUCUAGUAUUCUUGCCUGGAGAUUCCGCACAGACAGGGGAGCCUGGUGGGCUACAGUCCUUGAGGUCACAAAGGGUAAGACAUGACUGAGUGACUAAGCACAGCACAGCAGAUUUGGAGAUCAUUCAGCAAUGGUUUCCAAAUUUGUCUCUCUGCCCUCGGUCUUAACUUUAUCCAAUCUAUUGUACUACUUGGCCCCCAGGGUGAUCUCAUAAAAAUUUAAAUUAGUAAAUAGCUUUCCUUCCUACCUGGGAUAAAGUCCAAAGUCAAUAGCUUUCCUACCUUUGGUUUUGCAUCUAAAAGUUAUUACCAAACCCAAAGUCAGCAAGAUUUUUUCCUGUGUUAUUUUCUAGGUGUUUUAUAGUUUUGUGUUUAAUAUUUAGUUCUGUAAAUCCAUUUUUAGUUAAUUUUUCUGAAAAUACAAGGUCUAGAUUUAUUUCUUUCCAUGUGAUAUCAAAUUGUUUCAGCACUAUUUUUAGAAAAGACGAUCUUUUCUCCAUUGCA
Long non-coding RNA from Dama dama (fallow deer), 2646 nucleotides. RefSeq lists it as uncharacterized. The transcript is spliced from 5 exons. The record is from RefSeq and is a predicted model, not a curated record. NCBI's taxonomy places the organism in Eukaryota, Metazoa, Chordata, Mammalia, Artiodactyla, Cervidae.